UGUCUUUGCAGCACUGAUUCUGAAGAGAACGUCUUCACAUAGGACUCAAAGGAAAUCAGUGUCCAAAGGAAACAGCAGCCCAGACUCUGAUUCCAGCUCCGAAGAUGCUCUCAGAUUCAGAUCCAUCAGCAACCACUGACAACAUGGAGGACUCGUCCCGAGUGUUUCCUGUCCUCUCUCGAUGGUCUUCUUCUCUUCAGUUAUUAACUCUUGAAAUCAGCAGCACAACAUGCCAGACUGUUUGACAAGUCUGUGAUUGAAUACAUUUAAAUGGAAUCUCAUGCAUAUCUUGUUAUGCUUAUUGGCUUUAAAUGUUUAAUAUUAAAUAAGUUUGAAGGCCAUUUAUCUCAGACGAGCCCGGCUGUGACAAGCUGAGCUUGUCUGUUAGCUUUGCUGUUGUCUUAGCUGUUGGUGGUCAAGAAGAAAUUAAUGUCAGUUCAAGGCCUUUUCAAAUGUGAGCUAUAAACUUAACUGCUAAAUUAUCUUACUGUGACCAACACAUUGUAGUGCUCCAGUUAAUCAGAAAGUCAUGUCAGAUUUUUUAAAAGUUUAUUUAAACAUUUUAUGAAAAAAAAACCACCUCAAUAAACAACCCCUGGCUUCAUUAACCAUGUGGAAAAUAAGUAAGGGAGACCAUCAGGUUGAACUGCUGGGACAUAGGAGAAAGUAUAAAACAUAAUUUAACAAAGAAAUCCCAACAAAAAUCAAAUAAAGUAUAGAGAUCCUGGAUGAUUGUUUGACUGUUAAAAUAUGACGGAAAAGCAAAUCCAACACAACCCUCCAUCAUUUAGCCUUUCAAACACAGGGCAACAUC
Molecule: long non-coding RNA, 814 nt
Organism: Labrus mixtus (cuckoo wrasse)
Lineage: Eukaryota; Metazoa; Chordata; Actinopteri; Labriformes; Labridae
Exons: 3
Source: RefSeq, a predicted model, not a curated record